RNAcentral lists this ribosomal RNA (198 nucleotides) under Clostridiales bacterium. Its description in RNAcentral is "partial 16S ribosomal RNA". It matches the Rfam family "Bacterial small subunit ribosomal RNA", at positions 1 to 191 of the family's 1533-position model. The record is from RNAcentral. Lineage: Bacteria; Bacillati; Bacillota; Clostridia; Eubacteriales.
UAAUCAGAGAGUUUGAUCCUGGCUCAGGACGAACGCUGGCGGCGUGCCUAACACAUGCAAGUCGAGCGGAGCUGAAUGGUAGCUUGCUACAGUUCAGCUUAGCGGCGGACGGGUGAGUAACACGUGGGUAAUCUGCCUUAUACAGGGGGAUAACACAGGGAAACCUGUGCUAAUACCGCAUAAGAUCACGACAUGGCA